GCAGGAUUAUGUGAAAGCUGGAUCGGGUUUUCAGCGCUGGAAGAAAUCAAUUAUAUUAGCAUUUCGAAUAUUAUAAUUCAGCUUUAAACUUACAGAGGAUUCACCCAUGCAUUUGAUGCCUGGAUGAAAAAUAAAGAAGACAUUCUGGAACAGGGAUAUUGCCUGUUCACCAGUAAUUUCAAGUUAUUUGCAGACUUGGCGGAGCCCUUUUUUUUUGCAUUCGACGAAUUCCAUCUUAAAGAUAUGCAAAAUGCCCCAAAGGAGUUGUAUAAAUGGAAAAUAUUUUCGAUUGCGUUCUCCACGUUAAAAGGGGACUUGCAAAUUGUAUAUCUAAAAGCUGUAAGUAAAUAAAUCUAUUUUAUGUUCUAUACUUUUAUACCCUUGCAGAGGGUAUUAUAAUUUUGGUCAAAAGUGAGGAACGGCCGGGAUCGGUCAACUAUAUAGCUGCCAUAUAACUGAUUGAUCGGCUUUCUACUAAUGUGCGGGGAUUAUCUUAAUGGGCUUUGUUUCUUGUUAGCUAUUUCGGUUUGAUUCGAAAGGAAGAACUUGUUCAGGGCUCACUAUUUUACUCAUAUUUAUAUUCCUCUUGCGGCACAUUACUCCUACUAGUUUCCCCAUUCGAUUCAAUGUGAGUUAAACUCAAUGCCAUGUGAACGAACUCCGGCCGCAAUAAAUUUCAAAUGGAACCGAAUCUGAAAACUCAG
This is a long non-coding RNA of Drosophila ananassae, 704 nucleotides long. RefSeq lists it as uncharacterized. The transcript has 3 exons. The record is from RefSeq and is a predicted model, not a curated record. Lineage: Eukaryota; Metazoa; Arthropoda; Insecta; Diptera; Drosophilidae.